GCUCGCUGCGAAGUAAUUAGGAAUCCAUUACCCAUAGCCAACCACGAGACAGAAUAGAAUUUGGAGAAGGAAAAACGAAGAGAAAAUGCCUAGGUUCGAUCCGUGGCCGGUGUUCUUCAAGCGAGAGUGGAAUCGGAACUGGCCUUUUCUGGUGGGGUUCGCCAUCACGGGAACCAUCAUCACUAAGUUCUCUCUCGGUCUCUCGGAGGAAGACGCGAAGAACUCUGCCUUCGUUCAGAGGCACAAGAGGUGAUUUCUUAAUGCCAGGAGAUGUUCUGGUAUACUCGACUUUAUUUUCUCGUCAGCUGUUGUUUUGACAUGAAUAAUAUUGACGACUUCUGUUGAUUGGUCGCGUGCCUUUGUGCACUUUUGAACUGACUAUUUUUUAAAAUCAAAAUGAAAAUGUUUGAAUGGGUUAAUAUUUCUUUAUUUAUGAUAGCAAUUUCGUUUGGAUCUCCUCGGCCUUUGGUCGGGGUCAAUUAAAGAAUC
This is an RNA transcript of Juglans regia (Persian walnut), 489 nucleotides long. RefSeq lists it as uncharacterized. The transcript has 3 exons. The record is from RefSeq and is a predicted model, not a curated record. NCBI's taxonomy places the organism in Eukaryota, Viridiplantae, Streptophyta, Magnoliopsida, Fagales, Juglandaceae.